This 1230-nucleotide ribosomal RNA is filed under the name Triticum aestivum (bread wheat). RNAcentral describes it as "partial small subunit ribosomal RNA". The record is from RNAcentral. Lineage: Eukaryota; Viridiplantae; Streptophyta; Magnoliopsida; Poales; Poaceae.
AUGCCCUUACUUUUGGAUUUUCAUUCGGAGAAAGACCCCAUCAGAGAGUGUCAAGAGCUUCUAAGACAGCACCAGUGUCUCGUGGUUAUUGAUGGUCUCCGGUCUAAAGAAGAAUGGGACUUGAUACAGGCUGCCUUGGUAUCCAGAUCUUCUACAAGUGUUAUCAUCGUCAUUACAACUGAGGCAAGCGUCGCCACAUACUGCGCAAAUAACAAAGAGCAAGUGCUUAAUGUGAAAGGUCUGGAAGCUGCUGCAGCCUUUGAUCUCUUCAGGAAAGAGGUACGCAAGAAGGCGUCGUCUUCGUCUUUAAAUAAUCACAAAGAUUCAGCGCUGGAUGAACUUAUUUUGAAGUGUGGAGGUCUUCCCAAAGUGAUAGUUGCCAUAGCUGCUGUACUAGCCACGCGGACGGUGGGAUUGAUGGAUACUGUACAUUCCUUGAAUCACAGAUUUAUGCAGCAUCUAGAGACCAAUCUGGAGUAUGAUAGUCUGCGAGCCCUAUUUGAUUGGAUGCAUUCCUACUUCCGUAAUUGUCCGGAUUCACUCAAGCCAUGCAUCUUUUAUCUAUCAAUUUUUCCUGAAGGUUGUAACAUUAGGCGCAGGCGGCUAGUUAGGAGGUGGAUUGCAGAGGGUUACUCUAGGGACAACGAGAAAAGAUCCGCUGAGGAGCAGGGUGAGAAGUUCUUCUCCAAGCUCCUCGCGCUGAGCAUAAUCCAGCAGAUACCAGAGGUCGGCACCACUGCCUUUGGUGAGACAAGGAUGGUAAGGUGCCAGGUCACUGGCUUCAUCCGUGAGUACAUCGUCUCACGGAGAAUGGAAGAGAACCUUGUGUUUGAACUCGGGCCCAAUUGUGCCCUAACGACCCAGCGAACAGGGCACCACCUUAUCAUACACAGAGACUGGGACAGUGACAGGAUUGUAUUCGAGAGCAUUGACUUCUCACGGCUACGGUCAAUGACAGUGUUUGGAAAGUGGGAAUCCUUCUUGAUCUCGAAAAACAUGAGGCUGGUUCGGGUGCUUGAUUUGGAGGAUGCAUCAGCUGUCAAGGAUGAAGACCUCAGGAAGAUUGUGAAGCGGCUGCGGCGCCUUAAGUUUCUCUCUUUACGAGGAUGCAGCGAUAUCUUCCAUCUGCCGAGUUCACUUGGUGUUCUGAGCCAGCUCCAGAGCCUGGAUGUGAGACACACCUCCAUUGUCACCCUGCCAACCAGCAUCACCAAGUUACACAGGUUGUAG